This 460-nucleotide ribosomal RNA is filed under the name uncultured bacterium. Its description in RNAcentral is "partial 16S ribosomal RNA". It matches the Rfam family "Bacterial small subunit ribosomal RNA", at positions 338 to 795 of the family's 1533-position model. The record is from RNAcentral.
CCUACGGUGUGCAGCAGUGAGGAAUAUUGGUCAAUGGGCGCUAGCCUGAACCAGCCAAGUAGCGUGAAUGAUGACUGCCCUACGGGUUGUAAACUUCUUUUAUAAAGGAAUAAAGUGCGGCACGUGUGCCUUUUUGUAUGUACUUUAUGAAUAAGGAUCGGCUAACUCCGUGCCAGCAGCCGCGGUACUACGGAGGAUCCGAGCGUUAUCCGGAUUUAUUGGGUUUAAAGGGAGCGUAGAUGGGUUGUUAAGUCAGUUGUGAAAGUUUGCGGCUCAACCGUAAAAUUGCAAUUGAUACUGGCAGUCUUGAGUACAGUAGAGGUAGGCGGAAUUCGUGGUGUAGCGGUGAAAUGCUUAGAUAUCACGAAGAACUCCGAUUGCGAAGGCAGCUUCCUAAACUGACACUGACAUUGAUGCUCGAAAGUGUGGGUAUCAAACAGGAUUAGAUACCCGGGUAGUC